UUAUUUGAGAGUUUGAUCCUGGCUCAGGAUGAACGCUGGCGGCGUGCCUAACACAUGCAAGUUGAGCGAUUUACUUCGGUAAAGAGCGGCGGACGGGUGAGUAACGCGUGGGUAACCUACCCUGUACACACGGAUAACAUACCGAAAGGUAUGCUAAUACGGGAUAAUAUAUUUGAGAGGCAUCUCUUGAAUAUCAAAGGUGAGCCGGUACAGGAUGGACCCGCGUCUGAUUAGCUAGUUGGUAAGGUAACGGCUUACCAAGGCGA
RNAcentral lists this ribosomal RNA (266 nucleotides) under Clostridioides difficile. RNAcentral describes it as "partial 16S ribosomal RNA". It matches the Rfam family "Bacterial small subunit ribosomal RNA", at positions 1 to 276 of the family's 1533-position model. Lineage: Bacteria; Bacillati; Bacillota; Clostridia; Peptostreptococcales; Peptostreptococcaceae. The record is from RNAcentral.